RNAcentral lists this unclassified non-coding RNA (228 nucleotides) under uncultured fungus. RNAcentral describes it as "sequence contains ITS1". Lineage: Eukaryota; Fungi. The record is from RNAcentral.
UUGAUAAUUUAAAAAUAUCGACUCAGAUAAUACUCGAAACAGUAAGAAAGAGUUUGUGGUUGCGUCCCUCCGACGGCCGGACCGGGAGCCAGUGCCUGUCCCGUGAGGGGCAGGCAGAGAGAGCCCAGAACCGCCGCCGAAGCAACGAGAGAGAGGUAUGUUCACAGUGGGUUUCGAACUAGAAAAGCAAACUCGGUAAUGAUCCCUCCGCUGGUUCACCAACGGAGA